RNAcentral lists this ribosomal RNA (523 nucleotides) under uncultured bacterium. Its description in RNAcentral is "bacterial SSU rRNA". It matches the Rfam family "Bacterial small subunit ribosomal RNA", at positions 771 to 1294 of the family's 1533-position model. The record is from RNAcentral.
AGCGAAUAGAUACCCGGGUAGUCCACGCCGUAAACGAUGGAAGCUAGCCGUUGGUAAGCAUGCUUAUCAGUGGCGCAGCUAACGCAUUAAGCUUCCCGCCUGGGGAGUACGGUCGCAAGAUUAAAACUCAAAGGAAUUGACGGGGGCCCGCACAAGCGGUGGAGCAUGUGGUUCAAUUCGACGCAACGCGAAGAACCUUACCAGCCCUUGACAUGUCCAGGACCGGUCGCAGAGACGCGACCUUCUCUUCGGAGCUUGGAACACAGGUGCUGCAUGGCUGUCGUCAGCUCGUGUCGUGAGACGUUGGGUUAAGUCCCGCAACGAGCGCAGCCCUCGUCCUUAGUUGCCAUCAUUUAGUUGGGCACUCUAAGGAGACUGCCGGUGAUAAGCCGCGAGGAAGGUGGGGAUGACGUCAAGUCCUCAUGGCCCUUACGGGCUGGGCUACACACGUGCUACAAUGGCGGUGACAAUGGGCAGCGAACCAGCAAUGGGGGAGCUAAUCUCAAAAACGCCGUCUCAGUUC